RNAcentral lists this Y RNA (102 nucleotides) under Saimiri boliviensis boliviensis (Bolivian squirrel monkey). RNAcentral's name for it is "Y RNA (ENSSBOG00000015372.1)". It matches the Rfam family "Y RNA". Rfam says of the family: Y RNAs are components of the Ro ribonucleoprotein particle (Ro RNP), in association with Ro60 and La proteins. Lineage: Eukaryota; Metazoa; Chordata; Mammalia; Primates; Cebidae. The record is from Rfam by way of RNAcentral.
GGCUGGUUUGAGGGCAGUGGUGUUUACAGUGAAUUGGACACAACCAGUUACAGAUUUCUUUGUUCCUUCUCCACUCCCACUACUUCACUGGACUAGCCUAAA